UACGGAGGGUGCGAGCGUUGUCCGGAAUCACUGGGCGUAAAGGGCGCGUAGGCGGCGCGGGAAGUCCAUGGUGAAAGCCCGAGGCUCAACUUCGGGUCGGCCAAGGAUACUCCCGGGCUCGAGCACUGUAGAGGCAGGUGGAAUUCCGGGUGUAGCGGUGGAAUGCGUAGAGAUCCGGAAGAACACCGGUGGCGAAGGCGGUCUGCUGGGCAGUUGCUGACACUGAGGCGCGACAGCGUGGGGAGCAAACAGG
Molecule: ribosomal RNA, 253 nt
Filed under: uncultured bacterium
Lineage: Bacteria
Description: partial 16S ribosomal RNA
Rfam family: Bacterial small subunit ribosomal RNA
Source: RNAcentral